This 253-nucleotide ribosomal RNA is filed under the name uncultured bacterium. RNAcentral describes it as "partial 16S ribosomal RNA". It matches the Rfam family "Bacterial small subunit ribosomal RNA", at positions 524 to 776 of the family's 1533-position model. The record is from RNAcentral.
UACGUAGGGUGCAAGCGUUAAUCGGAAUUACUGGGCGUAAAGCGUGCGCAGGCGGUGCUGUAAGACAGUUGUGAAAUCCCCGGGCUCAACCUGGGAACUGCAUCUGUGACUGCAUCGCUGGAGUGCGGCAGAGGGGGAUGGAAUUCCGCGUGUAGCAGUGAAAUGCGUAGAUAUGCGGAGGAACACCGAUGGCGAAGGCAAUCCCCAGGGCCUGCACUGACGCUCAUGCACGAAAGCGUGGGGAGCAAACAGG